This 713-nucleotide ribosomal RNA is filed under the name fungal sp. ARIZ AZ0276. Its description in RNAcentral is "eukaryotic LSU rRNA". The stretch from base 115 to 713 matches the Rfam family "Eukaryotic large subunit ribosomal RNA", at positions 1 to 599 of the family's 3401-position model. The record is from RNAcentral. Lineage: Eukaryota; Fungi.
AUUUCAUGGUGCGGAGCCCGGUGUUUGGGCGUCGGAAGUAAUAAGCACAUUUCCUCCGACGUUUCCCAGCCGAAUGUCUCCUGCCCGCCAAAGCUCCCAAUUGUCUACAAGGCAUGACCUCGGAUGGGUAGGGAUACCCGCUGAACUUAAGCAUAUCAAUAAGCGGAGGAAAAGAAACCAACAGGGAUUGCCUCAGUAACUGCGAGUGAAGCGGCAAAAGCUCAAAUUUGAAAUCUGGCCCGUCUCCGGCGGCCCGAGUUGUAAUUUGGAGGGGCAUCUUCAGGGGUGGGCGUCGUCCUAAGUUCCUUGGAACAGGACGUCACAGAGGGUGAGAAUCCCGUGCCUGGGCGGCUGUCCCGCUCCGUGUGAAGUGUCUCCGACGAGUCGAGUUGUUUGGGAAUGCAGCUCAAAAUGGGUGGUAAAUUCCAUCUAAAGCUAAAUAUUGGCGAGAGACCGAUAGCGCACAAGUAGAGUGAUCGAAAGAUGAAAAGCACUUUGAAAAGAGAGUUAAAAAGUACGUGAAAUUGUUGAAAGGGAAGCGCUUGAGACCAGACUCGCCGGACGGCAACCAUCGGUGCUUCUGUGCCGUGCACUUGCCGACCGGCGGGCCAGCAUCGGUUCUGGCGGUGGGAAAAAGGCCCGGGCAAUGUGGCUCCUCUCGGGGAGUGUUAUAGGCCCGGGUGUCAUACCGCCCGCUGGGACCGAGGACCGCG